GCACUCUUCAGCAGUACAGAUACAAAAACUGGACCAGUAUAGAGAUUAACAUGGUUCUGCACAAUGAUGACAUGAGAAUUCAUGAAGUGUUCCAUAUUUUG
This is a small nuclear RNA of Marmota marmota marmota (Alpine marmot), 101 nucleotides long. The record is from Ensembl. Lineage: Eukaryota; Metazoa; Chordata; Mammalia; Rodentia; Sciuridae.